GAUGAACGCUGGCGGCGUGCCUAACACAUGCAAGUCGAGCGAACAGACGAGGAGCUUGCUCCUCUGACGUUAGCGGCGGACGGGUGAGUAACACGUGGAUAACCUACCUAUAAGACUGGGAUAACUUCGGGAAACCGGAGCUAAUACCGGAUAAUAUAUUGAACCGCAUGGUUCAAUAGUGAAAGACGGUUUUGCUGUCCCUUAUAGAUGGAUCCGCGCCGCAUUAGCUAGUUGGUAAGGUAACGGCUUACCAAGGCAACGAUGCGUAGCCGACCUGAGAGGGUGAUCGGCCACACUGGAACUGAGACACGGUCCAGACUCCUACGGGAGGCAGCAGUAGGGAAUCUUCCGCAAUGGGCGAAAGCCUGACGGAGCAACGCCGCGUGAGUGAUGAAGGUCUUCGGAUCGUAAAACUCUGUUAUUAGGGAAGAACAAAUGUGUAAGUAACUAUGCACGUCUUGACGGUACCUAAUCAGAAAGCCACGGCUAACUACGUG
RNAcentral lists this ribosomal RNA (497 nucleotides) under uncultured bacterium. RNAcentral describes it as "partial 16S ribosomal RNA". It matches the Rfam family "Bacterial small subunit ribosomal RNA", at positions 28 to 507 of the family's 1533-position model. The record is from RNAcentral.